GACGAACGCUGGCGGCGCGCCUAACACAUGCAAGUCGAACGAGAGAGAAGGAGCUUGCUUCUUCGAUCGAGUGGCGAACGGGUGAGUAACGCGUGAGGAACCUGCCUCAAAGAGGGGGACAACAGUUGGAAACGACUGCUAAUACCGCAUAAGCCCACGGGUCGGCAUCGACCAGAGGGAAAAGGAGCAAUCCGCUUUGAGACGGCCUCGCGUCCGAUUAGCUAGUUGGUGAGGUAAUGGCCCACCAAGGCGACGAUCGGUAGCCGGACUGAGAGGUUGAACGGCCACAUUGGGACUGAGACACGGCCCAGACUCCUACGGGAGGCAGCAGUGGGGAAUAUUGCACAAUGGGGGAAACCCUGAUGCAGCGACGCCGCGUGGAGGAAGAAGGUCUUCGGAUUGUAAACUCCUGUUGUUGAGGAAGAUAAUGACGGUACUC
Molecule: ribosomal RNA, 439 nt
Filed under: uncultured bacterium
Lineage: Bacteria
Description: bacterial SSU rRNA
Rfam family: Bacterial small subunit ribosomal RNA
Source: RNAcentral